Molecule: non-coding RNA, 2131 nt
Organism: Meleagris gallopavo (turkey)
Lineage: Eukaryota; Metazoa; Chordata; Aves; Galliformes; Phasianidae
Source: RefSeq, a predicted model, not a curated record
UGUGGUUCUAUGAUAAGUGUUUCAGAUGAUUCAGAGAAGUAAGAUUCUGUCUACAGUUGUUAAAAUCUGCUUAAGUAUCCAUAGCCUUAGUUGCUGACAUUUUAAAGUACCAUUCUGCUUAUUCACUUCGCUAUACUAUUUUUAUUUUAUUAUGAGAAAAGUGUUUGUAGUAAUACAAACUUAUUAGUUUUAAUUUACUAAAGAAUUUUGUCUCAUUUAUGAUACCAUUCUAACUAUGAAAUUUCCCACAGAAAAAAAGGAUUUGCCCUUUCUUCUUUCUAAACUUUAGAGAAAGGAAGACUGUAUUCUUGGGGCUCAAAAGUUUUCAUUGGGAUAACUGGAACAAAACAAGGAGACUUUAUGAACUUCUACUAAGCACCUAGGCUUAGUAGAGAAUGGAGAAUUUACAGACUGCAUUCUUCACGUGCACGUUGAAAUGGUUUGUGUUUAGUAGUCAGCAGUUAUAUGUACAGUAUAUCAGUCACACAGACAGGUCUCUGACUCUGUCUGCAGUAUAUAUAAAUGAUGUAAUUCUUUCUUGAGGAGAGGAACAAAGACAUCUAAUAAUGUGGCCAUUUGUGUUUUGUGUUUAUCAGUCUUACAAAUGUAACACUGGCAAAGGACAGGACUAAGAACUCAAACAUGCUGCUUAGGUUGUACCUUUCCCAGGCAAUUGACUGUAUUCUGGUUUGCUUUGCUUUGUUUUUUUCUCUCACACUCGGUGUUGUUUUUUCCUUCUUUUUAAAGCAACACCUGUUUCUCUCGCCAAGAUAAUGAAGUAUUAAUGAGCUGAUCUGAGAAACUCUGUAAAAUACAAACGAUACUAACCCAGAGGACAGUGCCUCUUACUGAAGUUGCAUUCUCCCCUUUGCACAGAGUGUGCUGCUGGUUCAGGUUUGUUGAUCUUCCUAAUUACCUCAGAACUUUCAAACUAAUGAUUUUGGCGUCUCCUCCCAGUGCCGUGGAAGUGGUGCAAGGAGGGGCGAUGCGGUAACCCUACACCUGUUGCAGCACACGCCUAUCGACUCGCACAACUUCCCAGGCAAGUGCUGAGCUAGCCAUGAGAACAUCUGAGAUUGCUCGGCUCUGUAACCACUAGGCUCAAUCCUUCUGGAUGGUCAGCUUGGCUUUACGCUGCGGUGGCUGUAAAAGUUAAUGCUCUAAAAUGGCAGUUGAUGACAGCAGCUUGUACUCCAGGACUAGGAGUAAACUGAGUUCUCGUCAGAAUCAUCAUAAAUCAGCAAGACGGAGUAGUUUGCCACCAGACAUCUUGCUCGAAAAUGACUUUAAAGGCAAGUUUCAAAGAAAUAUUAAAAAUAUAGAGCCUAUACAUCCAAGGCGCUCCAAGAAAAGACCUUCUAUUUUUUCAGUGAAAAUAUUGUCGCAAUUAGAAGUCUUGAGGCACUCUAUCAAAGCAUUUCUGGAGUUCAGACCAGCAUACAGUCUAGCAAAGUCACUUUCUAAAAUAACACCCAAAUGAAGUUUCUGCUCCAACCUGAGAGAUAUGAGGAGAAUGUGGGGAGAAAAAAGAAGACGGGAGGAAUUUUCACCUUUUCUGUCAGUAGCAGUAUGUUAGAUUACGUUAAAUCAGACGUGAAAACACACCCGGAGUCAAAUCUGUGGUAUUAUUGGAAGAGGAAGAAGUAUUUUCAUACUCUUGGGGAAGUUCUAGCUUUGUCGUGAGUUCUGUCAGCACUGAUGCUCUGCUUUCAAUUCACUGAAUUAAUCAGGAGCUAGUGAUGACCUCCCUCGAUUUGUGGGAGGGUUCAGGCCAGGUCCUGUGUUGACGACCUGCAUGAAACAGCAGAUACCGUGUCACCAAGUGCUGCUGCUCCAGGGAAGCUCACAUUCCUCCCCAAGGAGCACGGCCAGGGCUCUUUGCCCCUGCACCCCCAUGCAAGGCUUCAGGGUGGACGGAUCACCACAGGCUUUUUGGGAUCGACAUCCUCUUUUAAACUUAGACUGGUGUAAAAUCUAACUUGUCAUUCUCCAGAUCUACACAUUGUAUUCACACGCUUUCAUAACUGUUUUGUGUUAGUGGAUAGUUUUCAGUUAUAUGCCAUUUAUCUUGGGUUUCAUGAAAUGAAAAGGAAGGAACCCAUAUUCUCUUCCAAUCCAUCAAAAAAAAAAA